CUCCCUGAUGUUAGCGGCGGACGGGUGAGUAACACGUGGGUAACCUGCCUGUAAGACUGGGAUAACUCCGGGAAACCGGGGCUAAUACCGGAUGGUUGUCUGAACCGCAUGGUUCAGACAUAAAAGGUGGCUUCGGCUACCACUUACAGAUGGACCCGCGGCGCAUUAGCUAGUUGGUGAGGUAACGGCUCACCAAGGCGACGAUGCGUAGCCGACCUGAGAGGGUGAUCGGCCACACUGGGACUGAGACACGGCCCAGACUCCUACGGGAGGCAGCAGUAGGGAAUCUUCCGCAAUGGACGAAAGUCUGACGGAGCAACGCCGCGUGAGUGAUGAAGGUUUUCGGAUCGUAAAGCUCUGUUGUUAGGGAAGAACAAGUGCCGUUCAAAUAGGGCGGCACCUUGACGGUACCUAACCAGAAAGCCACGGCUAACUACGUGCCAGCAGCCGCGGUAAUACGUAGGUGGCAAGCGUUGUCCGGAAUUAUUGGGCGUAAAGGGCUCGCAGGCGGUUUCUUAAGUCUGAUGUGAAAGCCCCCGGCUCAACCGGGG
Molecule: ribosomal RNA, 551 nt
Filed under: Bacillus amyloliquefaciens
Lineage: Bacteria; Bacillati; Bacillota; Bacilli; Caryophanales; Bacillaceae
Also listed under: 1 other name
Description: bacterial SSU rRNA
Rfam family: Bacterial small subunit ribosomal RNA
Source: RNAcentral